Molecule: ribosomal RNA, 607 nt
Filed under: uncultured bacterium
Lineage: Bacteria
Description: bacterial SSU rRNA
Rfam family: Bacterial small subunit ribosomal RNA
Source: RNAcentral
CCAGACUCCUACGGAGGCAGCAGUGGGGAAUCUUCCGCAAUGGACGAAAGUCUGACGGAGCAACGCCGCGUGAGUGAUGACGGCCUUCGGGUUGUAAAGCUCUGUUAAUCGGGACGAAAGGCCUUCUUGCGAAUAGUGAGAAGGAUUGACGGUACCGGAAUAGAAAGCCACGGCUAACUACGUGCCAGCAGCCGCGGUAAUACGUAGGUGGCAAGCGUUGUCCGGAAUUAUUGGGCGUAAAGCGCGCGCAGGCGGAUAGGUCAGUCUGUCUUAAAAGUUCGGGGCUUAACCCCGUGAUGGGAUGGAAACUGCCAAUCUAGAGUAUCGGAGAGGAAAGUGGAAUUCCUAGUGUAGCGGUGAAAUGCGUAGAUAUUAGGAAGAACACCAGUGGCGAAGGCGACUUUCUGGACGAAAACUGACGCUGAGGCGCGAAAGCCAGGGGAGCGAACGGGAUUAGAUACCCCGGUAGUCCUGGCCGUAAACGAUGGGUACUAGGUGUAGGAGGUAUCGACCCCUUCUGUGCCGGAGUUAACGCAAUAAGUACCCCGCCUGGGGAGUACGACCGCAAGGUUGAAACUCAAAGGAAUUGACGGGGGCCCCGCACAAG